CCUACGGGUGGCAGCAGUGGGGAAUCUUCCGCAAUGGACGAAAGUCUGACGGAGCAACGCCGCGUGAGUGAUGACGGCCUUCGGGUUGUAAAGCUCUGUUAAUCGGGACGAAAGGCCUUCUUGCGAAUAGUGAGAAGGAUUGACGGUACCGGAAUAGAAAGCCACGGCUAACUACGUGCCAGCAGCCGCGGUAAUACGUAGGUGGCAAGCGUUGUCCGGAAUUAUUGGGCGUAAAGCGCGCGCAGGCGGAUAGGUCAGUCUGUCUUAAAAGUUCGGGGCUUAACCCCGUGAUGGGAUGGAAACUGCCAAUCUAGAGUAUCGGAGAGGAAAGUGGAAUUCCUAGUGUAGCGGUGAAAUGCGUAGAUAUUAGGAAGAACACCAGUGGCGAAGGCGACUUUCUGGACGAAAACUGACGCUGAGGCGCGAAAGCCAGGGGAGCGAACGGGAUUAGAUACCCCAGUAGUC
Molecule: ribosomal RNA, 465 nt
Filed under: uncultured Veillonella sp.
Lineage: Bacteria; Bacillati; Bacillota; Negativicutes; Veillonellales; Veillonellaceae
Description: bacterial SSU rRNA
Rfam family: Bacterial small subunit ribosomal RNA
Source: RNAcentral